Non-coding RNA from Helianthus annuus (common sunflower), 46 nucleotides. Lineage: Eukaryota; Viridiplantae; Streptophyta; Magnoliopsida; Asterales; Asteraceae. The record is from Rfam.
CCAAAGGACUUCUUAAAGUCCAUAAAAAUUCCCUUCAAACACCUCU